AGUGGCGAACGGGUGAGUAAAGUAUCGGAACGUGCCCAGUCGUGGGGGAUAACGUAGCGAAAGUUACGCUAAUACCGCAUACGAUCUAUGGAUGAAAGCGGGGGAUCGCAAGACCUCGCGCGAUUGGAGCGGCCGAUAUCAUAUUAGGUAGUUGGUGGGGUAAAGGCUCACCAAGCCGACGAUCUGUAGCUGGUCUGAGAGGACGACCAGCCACACUGGGACUGAGACACGGCCCACACUCCUACGGGAGGCAGCAGUGGGGAAUUUUGGACAAUGGGCGCAAGCCUGAUCCAGCCAUGCCGCGUGCAGGAUGAAGGCCUUCGGGUUGUAAACUGCUUUUGUACGGAACGAAAAGGUUUGGCCUAAUAAGCUGAGCUCAUGACGGUACCGUAAGAAUAAGCACCGGCUAACUACGUGCCAGCAGCCGCGGUAAUACGUAGGGUGCGAGCGUUAAUCGGAAUUACUGGGCGUAAAGCGUGCGCAGGCGGUUAUGUAAGACAGAUGUGAACUCCCCGGGCUCAACCUGGGAACUGCAUUAGUGACUGCAUAGCUGGAGUACGGCAGAGGGGGGAUGGAAUUCCGCGUGUAGCAGUGAAAUGCGUAGAUAUGCGGAGGAACACCGAUGGCGAAGGCACUCCCCUGGGCCUGUACUGACGCUCAUGCACGAAGCGUGGG
This 675-nucleotide ribosomal RNA is filed under the name uncultured Curvibacter sp. RNAcentral describes it as "bacterial SSU rRNA". It matches the Rfam family "Bacterial small subunit ribosomal RNA", at positions 94 to 765 of the family's 1533-position model. Lineage: Bacteria; Pseudomonadati; Pseudomonadota; Betaproteobacteria; Burkholderiales; Comamonadaceae. The record is from RNAcentral.